UUGUUGCUAUGCUAGACAUAGCAGUAAUGCAGUUAACACAGUAAGUGUGCCGCCUGGGGAGUACGGUCGCAAGAUUAAAACUCAAAGGAAUAGACGGGGACCCGCACAAGCGGUGGAGCAUGUGGUUUAAUUCGACGAUACGCGAAGAACCUUACCUGGCCUUGACAUAGGAAGAACUUACUAGAGAUAGUUUGGUGCUAGUUUACUAGAACUUCCAUACAGGUGCUGCACGGCUGUCGUCAGCUCGUGUCGUGAGAUGUUGGGUUAAGUCCCGCAACGAGCGCAACCCUCGUGUUUAGUUACUAACAGUUCGGCUGAGGACUCUAGGCAGACUGCCUGGGUAACCAGGAGGAAGGUGAGGACGACGUCAAGUCAUCAUGGCCCUUACGGCCAGGGCUACACACGUGCUACAAUGGGGUAUACAAAGAGCCGCGAUACCGUGAGGUGGAGCAAAUCUCAUAAAAUAUCUCCCAGUUCGGAUAGUAGUCUGCAACUCGACUACUUGAAGUUGGAAUCGCUAGUAAUCGUAGAUCAGCAAUGCUACGGUGAAUACGUUCCCGGGUCUUGUACUCACCGCCCGUCACACCAUGGGAGUUGAUUUCAUUCGAAGCGGGGAUGCUAAAAUAGCUACCUUCCACAGUGGAAUUAGCGACUAGGGUGAAGUCGUAACAAGGUAGCCG
RNAcentral lists this ribosomal RNA (680 nucleotides) under uncultured bacterium. Its description in RNAcentral is "bacterial SSU rRNA". It matches the Rfam family "Bacterial small subunit ribosomal RNA", at positions 820 to 1502 of the family's 1533-position model. The record is from RNAcentral.